GAGCCCCCCAUUCUGGGUAAGGGGAUACCCCUGUGAAGGUCAGUCACGGUUUGUCUCUGCAGAGGAAGCAUAAAUUGUGGCUGCUGCAGCUCUGCUCUUUGUCUUUAUUUUUAGGAAGUCAAGGCAGAGAGCAGCUGUCAAGGCUGAGUGGGCAAGAUGGACUGCUUGCCAUCUAUCCUUGCCCAGCAUGCCCAUGCCAGGUGCUGUCGCUGCCCUAGGCAUGCCGGGGAAGAGAGGAGGGCAG
Long non-coding RNA from Melospiza georgiana, 244 nucleotides. RefSeq lists it as uncharacterized. The transcript is spliced from 3 exons. Lineage: Eukaryota; Metazoa; Chordata; Aves; Passeriformes; Passerellidae. The record is from RefSeq and is a predicted model, not a curated record.